UACAGAGGGUGCGAGCGUUGUCCGGAAUCACUGGGCGUAAAGGGCGCGUAGGUGGCGACCCAAGUCGAUGGUGAAAGCUCGCCGCUCAACGGCGAGUCGGCCACCGAUACUGGGUUGCUGGAGCACUGUAGAGGCUCAUGGAAUUCCGGGUGUAGCGGUGGAAUGCGUAGAGAAUCCGGAAGAACGACCGGUGGCGAAGGCGGUGAGCUGGGCAGUUGCUGACACUGAGGUGCGAAAGCGUGGGGAGCAAACGAGG
RNAcentral lists this ribosomal RNA (256 nucleotides) under uncultured bacterium. Its description in RNAcentral is "partial 16S ribosomal RNA". It matches the Rfam family "Bacterial small subunit ribosomal RNA", at positions 524 to 777 of the family's 1533-position model. The record is from RNAcentral.